This 171-nucleotide non-coding RNA is filed under the name Gorilla gorilla gorilla (western lowland gorilla). Lineage: Eukaryota; Metazoa; Chordata; Mammalia; Primates; Hominidae. The record is from Rfam by way of RNAcentral.
GCCAGGUGUGGUGGCACGCACCUGUAAUCCCAGCUACUCGGGAGGCUGAGGCAGGAGAAUCACUUGAACCCGGGAGGUGGAGGUUGCAGUGAGCUGAGAUCAUGCCACUGCACUCAGCCUGGGUGUGCCACUGCACUCCAGCCUGGGUAACAGAGUGAGACGCUGCCUCUG